GCCUCUUGGACUGGGACAACUGUUGGAAACGACAGCUAAUACCGGAUAUUAUGAGAUUCUCGCAUGAGAAACUUAUGAAAGCUAUAUGCGCCAAGAGAGAGCCUUGCGUUCCAUUAGCUAGUUGGUGGGGUAACGGCCCACCAAGGCGACGAUGGAUAGCCGGCCUGAGAGGGUGAACGGCCACAAGGGGACUGAGACACGGCCCUUACUCCUACGGGAGGCAGCAGUGGGGAAUAUUGGACAAUGGGCCACAAGCCUGAUCCAGCAAUUCUGUGUGCACGAUGAAGGUCUUCGGAUUGUAAAGUGCUUUCAGUUGGGAAGAAGAAAGUGACGGUACCAACAGAAGAAGCGACGGCUAAAUACGUGCCAGCAGCCGCGGUAAUACGUAUGUCGCAAGCGUUAUCCGGAUUUAUUGGGCGUAAAGCGCGUCUAGGCGGAAAAAUAAGUCUGAUGUUAAAAUGCGGGGCUCAACUCCGUAUUGCGUUGGAAACUGUUUUUCUAGAGUACUGGAGAGGUGGGCGGAACUACAAGUGUAGAGGUGAAAUUCGUAGAUAUUUGUAGGAAUGCCGAUGGAGAAGUCAGCUCACUGGACAGAUACUGACGCUGAAGCGCGAAAGCGUGGGGAGCAAACAGG
Molecule: ribosomal RNA, 634 nt
Filed under: uncultured bacterium
Lineage: Bacteria
Description: bacterial SSU rRNA
Rfam family: Bacterial small subunit ribosomal RNA
Source: RNAcentral